UUUCCGUAGGUGAACCUGCGGAAGGAUCAUUAUUGUAUAACCGAGGUGCGAGGGCUGUCGCUGACCCGAAAGGUCGUGCACGCCCGAGUGCCCUCACACACAUCCCUCUCACCCCUAUGUGCACCACCGCGUGGGUCUCCCUUGGGCUUGUUCGGAGGGGGGCUUACGUUUUCACUCAAACUUUGUAUGCAGUGUAGAAUGUAUUUUUUGUUUUUGCGUUCACGCAAUCAAUACAACUUUCAACAACGGAUCUCUUGGCUCUC
RNAcentral lists this unclassified non-coding RNA (263 nucleotides) under plant metagenome. Its description in RNAcentral is "partial contains small subunit ribosomal RNA, internal transcribed spacer 1, and 5.8S ribosomal RNA". The record is from RNAcentral.